CUUGGUUGGAUUGAAAAUUGAGUGAAUUAAUAAUUUUCUCUAUGUCAAAUUUCUUCUCUACCUCUAUAUUUGCUACUUCUCCUUUUCCUAUUUCAUCCCUCUUCUUUGUCUUCAUCCUUUCUGUUUUUGUCUAUUUUGUUUCACUUUAUUCUUCUUAAUCUCCAUUGGUGCUACAUCUCCAUAGUCCAUCCUAAACUAUAUGACCUCAUUUAAAAGUUACUGCCCUUUUAAGUAUUAAGUUGCCCAUUUUAAUUUUCUAUACACUGGAAUUUUUAUCAUUUUGACGAAAAGUACUUCUCAGAUCUAGUAUGGUUAUCUGCAUAUGCCAAUUAUUUUUUAUGCUUUGUGCAAGCAUUUGCUUGGCCUGGGCCUUGCUUUGAGUAUACUUGUUGUUUUCAUCUUAUAAGCCCUGGCAGUUUCUGCUUCACAGGUAUUGAAAUUAAUGAUGAGGAG
RNAcentral lists this unclassified non-coding RNA (453 nucleotides) under Hevea brasiliensis (rubber tree). Lineage: Eukaryota; Viridiplantae; Streptophyta; Magnoliopsida; Malpighiales; Euphorbiaceae. The record is from RNAcentral.